ACGUAGGGUGCGAGCGUUAAUCGGAAUUACUGGGCGUAAAGCGUGCGCAGGCGGUUUUGUAAGCCAGAUGUGAAAUCCCCGGGCUUAACCUGGGAAUGGCAUUUGGGACUGCAAGGCUUGAGUUUGGCAGAGGAGACUGGAAUUCCUGGUGUAGCAGUGAAAUGCGUAGAUAUCGAGAGGAACACCAGUGGCGAAGGCGAGUCUCUGGACGACUCCUGACACUGAGGCACGAAAGCCAGGGGAGCAAACAGGA
RNAcentral lists this ribosomal RNA (253 nucleotides) under uncultured prokaryote. RNAcentral's name for it is "partial 16S ribosomal RNA". It matches the Rfam family "Bacterial small subunit ribosomal RNA", at positions 525 to 777 of the family's 1533-position model. The record is from RNAcentral.